CACUGACACACACAUGCUCACUGACACACAUAUGGUCACUACAGACAAGCUCACGAUCACACUCAUGCCUACUACAGACAAGCUCACUGUACACACAUGCUCACCACAGACAGGCUCCGACACACCCAUGCUCCUUACAGACAAGCUCACACACACACACACACACAUAUGAUCCCUACAGACAAGCUCACUCACUAGCAGGCACACACACAAACUCACUAGCAGGCACACACACACACACACAGAGGCUCCCUCACUAGCAGAUGCGCGC
Non-coding RNA from Pelobates cultripes (western spadefoot toad), 271 nucleotides. Lineage: Eukaryota; Metazoa; Chordata; Amphibia; Anura; Pelobatidae. The record is from the annotation of a GenBank genome assembly.